Molecule: ribosomal RNA, 320 nt
Filed under: uncultured Prevotella sp.
Lineage: Bacteria; Pseudomonadati; Bacteroidota; Bacteroidia; Bacteroidales; Prevotellaceae
Description: bacterial SSU rRNA
Rfam family: Bacterial small subunit ribosomal RNA
Source: RNAcentral
GAUGAACGCUAGCUACAGGCUUAACACAUGCAAGUCGAGGGGCAGCGAGAAGAAAGCUUGCUUUCUUUGUCGGCGACCGGCGCACGGGUGAGUAACGCGUAUCCAACCUUCCCCUUAGUAGAGGAUAGCCCGGCGAAAGUCGGAUUAAUACUCUAUGUUCUUUCUGGAUGGCAUCUGAUGGAAAGCAAAGGUUCACCGCUAAGGGAUGGGGAUGCGUCUGAUUAGGUUGUUGGCGGGGUAACGGCCCACCAAGCCGACGAUCAGUAGGGGUUCUGAGAGGAAGGUCCCCCACAUUGGUACUGAGACACGGACCAAACUCC